UGCCAGCCGCCGCGGUAACACGGGGGGCGCAAGCGUUAUUCGGAAUUAUUGGGCGUAAAGGGCGCGUAGGCGGUCUUGUCAGUCAGGUGUGAAAGCCCGGGGCUCAACCCCGGAAGUGCAUUGGAAACUGGCGAACUUGAGUACGGGAGAGGAAAGUGGAAUUCCGAGUGUAGGGGUGAAAUCCGUAGAUAUUCGGAGGAACACCAGUGGCGAAGGCGGCUUUCUGGACCAAUACUGACGCUGAGAUGCGGAAGCGUGGGGAGCGAACCGGAUUAGAUA
This 279-nucleotide ribosomal RNA is filed under the name uncultured bacterium. RNAcentral's name for it is "partial 16S ribosomal RNA". It matches the Rfam family "Bacterial small subunit ribosomal RNA", at positions 506 to 784 of the family's 1533-position model. The record is from RNAcentral.